UACGAAGGGGGCUAGCGUUGUUCGGAAUUACUGGGCGUAAAGGGCGCGUAGGCGGUGUGUCAAGUCAGGCGUGAAAGCCCCGGGCUCAACCUGGGAACAGCGCUUGAGACUGGCACGCUCGAGUUCGGGAGAGGAUGGUGGAAUUCCCAGUGUAGAGGUGAAAUUCGUAGAUAUUGGGAAGAACACCCGUGGCGAAGGCGGCUCUCUGGGACGGUACUGACGCUGAGACGCGAAAGCGUGGGGAGCGAACAGG
RNAcentral lists this ribosomal RNA (253 nucleotides) under uncultured bacterium. Its description in RNAcentral is "partial 16S ribosomal RNA". It matches the Rfam family "Bacterial small subunit ribosomal RNA", at positions 524 to 776 of the family's 1533-position model. The record is from RNAcentral.